AGUACGAGUUGUGUGUGCACCGAAUAUUCUUCCUGUCCUGAGCAGCGUCAUUGUACGCUGGAAGUGGAGAGCAGAGGCAAACCCAGGGAGCCAUAGAGGCCCAGCCAGCUCCAAGGAGCCCCAAUCACCCCACUCUGGCAUUGUGUCCCCUCAUGCACACUUGCCUCACAGGACACGCAGAGCAGACUUCAACUCAGGGCCCUUUUCUUCAGAGGACACAUGGGCCCCACUUCUCCACAAGUGUGCACGCACUGGUUGUGUAGUUUCAUUCAGCUCUUAUCCCUGCCUGAAGGUGAAGCGGUUCAUUUUAUCCCUGAAACUGAGACUUUCUUGAAAUGCAUUUGUCUACUGCAACACGUGGCAACAAGCGCCUGCUUCGUCAUAUUCGGGCUGCAACUAACGAUUACUUUAGUGAGCGGUUAUUUUGACGAUUUAUCGGAUAAGAAAUUGGCAUAUUCUGCAGAUUUUUCAUUUUAGACUUUUUAUAGUACAUUAGAAAUACACAAAAAUGCAAAUAAACUAAAUUUAAUUCCCUUUUUAGAUAUGAAAAUGAACAUUUUAUUGUGUAAAAUGGAAUAACAGCAUUUGUUGUGUGAACGCUUGAUUACAUUAACAAGUAAAAAAAAACAUUUCUCCUAGACUUGACAUCAAGUGAUGAUUCUUUUUUGGAUUAUUUACGCUUGAUAGUUGAUUAUUUUUAGCAGAAUUUGAACCAGGUGAAGCUAAAACAGCCACUUUAGGAGUUCUGGGUGGAUCGGAUUGACAGAUAAAGAGUUUUUUUUUUCAUAAAUACACAAAAUGUAUGCAUUUUUGUACAGCUUUGACUCAUUGUGCUGUUCUUUCAGCAAAUGGGCUUUUUUAGAGCCUCUAUGCUGCAAUUUAAUGGUUAUUUGAUUCCUAAGUACUGUGACAAUUAUUUCAACAAUCGAUUAAUCACAAUUAAAUCAAUUAAUCGUUUCAGCCCUAUGUCAUAAAUGACUCAACAAACUCAUCCAGUCUGUAUCAAACAUCUCAAUUUACCAAUAAUCCUAAUGAUGGCAAUAAAACAGAAAUUGAUAUUUUAUAAAUUGGUAAAAACACACUAAAAACAUUCAACAGUAUUAAUUUGUUUUACAUUUUUAUUUUAAAAAUCUGAUGAAAGGCAAAUGCUUUGGUAUAUAAAUGGCAAAAACGUCUUUCUUUUAAAUUUCAACACAGCGAAUGCUGUGUCCCUAUAUAGAGGACAGAAGCUGAUUAUUGGUUUUACAUGAAAGUAUCAGAGCCAGUCAAUCAGUGCAACCCUAAUUCUUCAUUUCCUAAUUUUCUGCUGAUUCAAAAAAAUAAUUAAAAUUUAAACUGUAAUUGGACAGUUUCCUUUGAUCAGCUCACACAAUUGAUCGGUAAAUCAAAUACAAAAGAAAACAACAAAAGAAUUUCUUAUUAAACGCAUCAAAACUGAAAAAUCCCACUAUCUUCUGCCAACAUGUAAUAAAGACAAUCAGAAAAAGUCUUUAUUACGUACGUUUUAAUUCAUCUACUGGUCUCUUGCUAACUAGUGAGCCAAAUCUGUUCACAUAUGUAUUUUAAUCUAGAGUUGUUACACCAAGCAUUUCAGACUACAUUGUAACUACUAUAAUAAGCAUUUGUGAGCAUAAUUUUUUUGCCUACAGCCUCAUUCGUACUCUUGAUUAAUGCAUAAUAAACAGUUUUUAAUGA
Molecule: non-coding RNA, 1695 nt
Organism: Poecilia reticulata (guppy)
Lineage: Eukaryota; Metazoa; Chordata; Actinopteri; Cyprinodontiformes; Poeciliidae
Source: RefSeq, a predicted model, not a curated record